UGUGGCCAAUGCACCUAUUGUGUCCCUGCUGCAGAAAGGAGCCUGCCGAUUGGCCACUGUCUGCAGCACAUAGCACUGGCUGGUUAUAAAGGACUUGUCUAGGGGAGAGCCUGUAGGUACUCCAUUGUCUGGUAAAGUUCAUAUGACUGCAUUCUUUUUUGCAAGGGGGGUGGAGGGAGAGUGGCGAAGGAGGGGGUGUCAGCUCAACUGUAAAAGCUGCACAGAUUUUUUUCUUUCUCUCUCUCUCUCUGCCUCUCCAUAGAUCGUUUCUGUUUCAUGCCCUGUCUCAUUUUGCAUAGCUAAAAAAGAAUGCUAAUUAAGAUCCCUUGUCUUAACCUGAAAAAUAAUGACUUGGCUGUAAUUAGAAAUCUGGUGAGAGUUUAAAAUUCUGGUACGGGACCAAAAACAUCAGUUACGGUACUUAGGAAGAAAAUGAAGAAUUAUUUUUUUGUAAUCAAGAUGGAUCUGAGAACGCUGUCUGGGCUUGGUGCCAAGGGCUGGUAUUUCACAGCAGCGACCGCCUCACAGACGAGCUGUGGGAAGCAGGAGGGAGACUCUCUCUUAGGGUGCCACUACUAUGGAGACACAGCUGGGCUGAACAAGAUUUGCUUCAAACAACAACAAGAGAGACAGAAAGUAUCUGGUUCAACCGCUGCCUGAGCAGGCAGGCACCAGAAGAGCUAGCAGCCAAUCCGGCCAUGCUCGAAGCCAGCUCUGCAGCUCAGCCAAUCAGUGACAUCACUGGUGAGAAACUCAUUUACAUCAUGCAGUAAUGAACUUUGUUUAACAUAGCCUUCCCCCUUUCCUGUCACCCCCCCUUUCCAUAUUAGGCCCUUCCAUUAAUUAUUCUGCUGGCAUAAUUUAAACCGCUAUGCAAAAAUGUGGCUACAUUCUCUCUGAUAGCUUUUACCUUUUAUUUUCCCCAUCGGUGUCUGCUGUCACUGAAAGUAAUUCUGGGUACAAUUCUAUUUUGUUUUGAACUUGUAAAAUUAUAUUCUCUUUCUUAAAAAAAUUCUUAACAACAUGAAACCUCCGUUUAUUUUGUCUGAUCCCUCUUCUUAUGAGUGAAUACAUGCUUCUGCAAGUUGGGAUUCAGAACUGUACAAGGUAAUAG
Molecule: long non-coding RNA, 1114 nt
Filed under: Callithrix jacchus (white-tufted-ear marmoset)
Lineage: Eukaryota; Metazoa; Chordata; Mammalia; Primates; Cebidae
Description: lncRNA (ENSCJAG00000047610.3)
Source: RNAcentral